UACGGAGGGGGCAAGCGUUGUUCGGAAUUACUGGGCGUAAAGGGCGCGUAGGCUGCUCGCUAAGUCGGGUGUGAAAACUCUGGGCUCAACCCAGAGCCUGCAUUCGAAACUGACGAGCUAGAGUUCUGGAGGGGAAAGCGGAAUUCCUGGUGUAGCGGUGAAAUGCGUAGAUAUCAGGAGGAACACCGGUGGCGAAGGCGGCUUUCUGGACAGAAACUGACGCUGAGGCGCGAAAGCUAGGGGAGCAAACAGG
RNAcentral lists this ribosomal RNA (253 nucleotides) under uncultured bacterium. RNAcentral's name for it is "partial 16S ribosomal RNA". It matches the Rfam family "Bacterial small subunit ribosomal RNA", at positions 524 to 776 of the family's 1533-position model. The record is from RNAcentral.